UGCAUCCAGGGAGAUCAUUGCUGCCU
Molecule: non-coding RNA, 26 nt
Filed under: Homo sapiens (human)
Lineage: Eukaryota; Metazoa; Chordata; Mammalia; Primates; Hominidae
Source: RNAcentral